GCGUGGGGCUUAAGUGUGCGGGUUGGAGAGAAAAUGACAUCAACCAACAUCACUCACGUGUUUCGGUCUGUGGGUCAUCAAUACGAUGCUCAGAGUCAGAAACUGAUUUUUGUAGCUGUUGUCUUUGGAGUGAUCUUACAUAGAGGUCAAGCUGCUGCCUCUCCUUUCCUUCCACGUUGCUCUCAAGAGUAAAGGAGUCCAUGAUUCCUCUCAGCCCCAGAGAAAACCAAGACAGGGAGCAGCCUCUUUCUCAAAAUCCAGGUCCCCUUCCUGGAGCAGAGAGAAGCAGGAUAGCUUGGAAGGUCUUCACUUCUCCCGUGUGGGGUCAACGCAGAUGGAGAGGUUACAGCACUGUGCCAGGAGGACAGGCACACCUGACCAAACUCGACUUCCAUUUCAGGGGCUUUCAAAUUCUUUUGAUUGUGCUCCAAAAACGGAAAAAAUUUCUUUUUAAUUUUAAAAACUUGAGGUGAAAUUCACAUUACACA
This is a long non-coding RNA of Equus caballus (horse), 488 nucleotides long. NCBI's taxonomy places the organism in Eukaryota, Metazoa, Chordata, Mammalia, Perissodactyla, Equidae. The record is from Ensembl.